UACAGAGGUCCCGAGCGUUGUUCGGAUUUACUGGGCGUAAAGGGCGCGUAGGCGGCGCGGUAAGUCACUUGUGAAAUCUCUGAGCUUAACUCAGAACGGCCAAGUGAUACUGCAGUGCUAGAGUGCAGAAGGGGCAAUCGGAAUUCUUGGUGUAGCGGUGAAAUGCGUAGAUAUCAAGAGGAACACCUGAGGUGAAGACGGGUUGCUGGGCUGACACUGACGCUGAGGCGCGAAAGCCAGGGGAGCAAACGGG
Molecule: ribosomal RNA, 253 nt
Filed under: uncultured bacterium
Lineage: Bacteria
Description: partial 16S ribosomal RNA
Rfam family: Bacterial small subunit ribosomal RNA
Source: RNAcentral